Molecule: ribosomal RNA, 433 nt
Filed under: uncultured bacterium
Lineage: Bacteria
Description: partial 16S ribosomal RNA
Rfam family: Bacterial small subunit ribosomal RNA
Source: RNAcentral
AACGAACGCUGGCGGCAUGCCUAACACAUGCAAGUCGAACGCGACCUUCGGGUCUAGUGGCGCACGGGUGCGUAACGCGUGGGAACCUGCCCUUAGGUUCGGAAUAACUCCCCGAAAGGGGUGCUAAUACCGGAUAAUGUCUUCGGACCAAAGAUUUAUCGCCUUUGGAUGGGCCCGCGUUGGAUUAGCUAGUUGGUAGGGUAAAAGCCUACCAAGGCGACGAUCCAUAGCUGGUCUGAGAGGAUGAUCAGCCACACUGGGACUGAGACACGGCCCAGACUCCUACGGGAGGCAGCAGUGGGGAAUAUUGGACAAUGGGCGAAAGCCUGAUCCAGCAAUGCCGCGUGAGUGAUGAAGGCCUUAGGGUUGUAAAGCUCUUUUACCCGUGAUGAUAAUGACAGUACCGGGAGAAUAAGCGCCGGCUAACUCCGUG